Molecule: small nucleolar RNA, 127 nt
Organism: Otolemur garnettii (small-eared galago)
Lineage: Eukaryota; Metazoa; Chordata; Mammalia; Primates; Galagidae
Source: Ensembl
UUCCAUAGCUACUGGUCUGCAGCUGUUCUUAUAUAACAGUUGUGGCAUUCCUCUGUGCGAAAGAAACCGUUAACACAGCUAAACACCUUUCUUAGCAAAACAGAAAGUGACAGAAGAAAAAAAAAGA